Molecule: long non-coding RNA, 1704 nt
Organism: Myotis davidii
Lineage: Eukaryota; Metazoa; Chordata; Mammalia; Chiroptera; Vespertilionidae
Exons: 3
Source: RefSeq, a predicted model, not a curated record
UGCAACCUUUUGGCGUACAGGACAAUGCUGCAACCAACUGAACCACCAUCCAGGGCCAUACCAAUUUUCUUAUGAUUUCCUUUUCAUCCUCAUAUUUAAUUGAAAAACCUACUCUCUACUUAUUCCAAUUAAACCCAUCAAUCCCCAAAAGUACUUGCUUGUUCCAUAAGUUCUUCAUAUUAACAUGUCUUACAUUAUUUAUAAUUUUUUCAUUAAUGAUCCAUAUUUCCCAUGAAAUUGAAGAAUAUGCUGGUGAAAUAUUAAGUACUUAAUAUGUGUUGAAUUAAUAUUGAACAUUUUAUUGUUGAUGUUACAUAUCCUAAAACUUACAUUCAUGUUAUGUUUAAUUGUUGGUUCAAUCACUCAUAGGUUUUCUCAGCUACAAUGUCCCGCUUUUCAGAUGUCAAUAACAAGUUUGGUAUGUUACUUGUCAUUCAAGAUGAACUAUGUAAUUUAGUUUUCAUGCUGACGCCAGAUCAUUUCACUAAUGGCACAGUAUACUAUUCAUUUUAUAGUCAUAUAGGAUGCAUACUUGCAACAAAUAAAUACGGAGUAGUGGAAACAGCAUAAAGAAGAAGACGUGAUCCUUGCCUUUUCACAUCCAGAAAACCUACAGGGUACGCAGGGUGAGGGGAGUGAGCAGGAAAUCACCAGCGAGUAUGAUGAGUCUGAGGGGUAUGGUAAGUACAAGAUACUCUGAAAGCACAUACAGAGGACACCUAAUCUAAACUCAGGGGUUCCGAAGGGACAAGCUGAUCCCUGAAGAGUAGGCAUUACCCCAGCAAACAAGGCUUGGGAAGGUCAGAGGAAUCCUGGGUAUGAUCUGAAAGCAGUGAAUACAGGGAAAGUUAAUUUAAUUUCUUAAAAUUUCACUGGCAUAUUUAGUUCAGAUUCAGAUUUUCUAAGAUUCCAGUUCACAUCUUAAAAUCGAACAAAAUUACCUCAAACCAAAAGGACAUGUUGGGUAUAUUUUUUAAAUGAUAUUUCAUAAGUUAUUAUUAUUCCUAAAAUAUUUGCAAGGGGAAAACUAUUUUUCAUCCUGUCUUAGGUCACAUCCCUGAAAGCUUUCACAGAGGGAGUGCGCUCAGGGGAAGGGAUGUGAGAAGUAGGAGAGGACAGGACAAAGAGCUAACCAGGAGUGUGGCUGCAGCGGGACCCCCCCUUCAGCCAGUGACUCGGGAGCAUGAAUUGAAUCACAGAGUUGGUCCCACCUUGAGGCUGAAGUGCUACUGGGGAAAGGUGUGUGAAGGGAUGAGAUGCUCUCAAAAGUCUCCUGUCAAUCUGGGCCCGACAUAGCAGGUUUUAGGUUUAUAUCAUCAAGAUGAUCUGUUGUUAAAGAGAAGUGACGAGGCUAUAUUUUCUUUGCAAACCUGAGUGAGGAUGUGACUAAAUUGGCAAUUCCAUUUCAUGCAUUUUAUGAUUCUUUACUUCCUCAGAGCUUUCUAAUCUUUUUCUGGAGAUGCAGAUUUUCUUUGUUCAUUUUCCAAAUAAAAAUCUCCUUUCUUGGCUCCCCUGACAUCAACCGCCUUAGUCUUUGCCUAUAUAUCCAGAUGUCUCAUUUCACAUAGCUUUGUCCCCAGAUCUUUAAACUCAGCCAUUUCUCCAGGCUCAAAUUUUGGCACCACAUCCUGAUUUAUUCUGCAUGAAGUAUUGUUUCAUGGAAAAAAAAAUUGAUAUACAGCAUAAACUAUUUUAUAAAUAGUU